GGUGGUUUGUCGCGUCGUCUGUGAAAUUCCGGGGCUUAACUCCGGGCGUGCAGGCGAUACGGGCAUAACUUGAGUGCUGUAGGGGAGACUGGAAUUCCUGGUGUAGCGGUGAAAUGCGCAGAUAUCAGGAGGAACACCGAUGGCGAAGGCAGGUCUCUGGGCAGUAACUGACGCUGAGGAGCGAAAGCAUGGGUAGCGAACAGGAUUAGAUACCCUGGUAGUCCAUGCCGUAAACGGUGGGCGCUAGGUGUAGGGGGCUUCCACGUCUUCUGUGCCGUAGCUAACGCAUUAAGCGCCCCGCCUGGGGAGUACGGCCGCAAGGCUAAAACUCAAAGGAAUUGACGGGGGCCCGCACAAGCGGCGGAGCAUGUGGAUUAAUUCGAUGCAACGCGAAGAACCUUACCUGGGCUUGACAUACACCAGAUCGCUGCAGAGAUGUAGUUUCCCUUGUGGUUGGUGUACAGGUGGUGCAUGGUUGUCGUCAGCUCGUGUCGUGAGAUGUUGGGUUAAGUCCCGCAACGAGCGCAACCCUUGUCUUAUGUUGCCAGCAUUUUAGUUGGGGACUCAUGAGAGACUGCCGGGGUUAACUCGGAGGAAGGUGGGGAUGACGUCAAAUCAUCAUGCCCCUUAUGUCCAGGGCUUCACACAUGCUACAAUGGUCGGUACAACGCGCAGCGACACUGUGAGGUGGAGCGAAUCGCUGAAAGCCGGCCUUAGUUCGGAUUGGGGUCUACUACUCGACCGCCAUGAAGUCGGAGUCGCUAGUAAUCG
This 771-nucleotide ribosomal RNA is filed under the name uncultured bacterium. RNAcentral's name for it is "bacterial SSU rRNA". It matches the Rfam family "Bacterial small subunit ribosomal RNA", at positions 574 to 1344 of the family's 1533-position model. The record is from RNAcentral.